Molecule: ribosomal RNA, 274 nt
Filed under: uncultured Lactobacillus sp.
Lineage: Bacteria; Bacillati; Bacillota; Bacilli; Lactobacillales; Lactobacillaceae
Description: partial 16S ribosomal RNA
Rfam family: Bacterial small subunit ribosomal RNA
Source: RNAcentral
UAAUGACGCUGGGAAAACGAGCGGCGGAUGGGUGAGUAACACGUGGGGAACCUGCCCCUAAGUCUGGGAUACCAUUUGGAAACAGGUGCUAAUACCGGAUAAUAAAGCAGAUCGCAUGAUCAGCUUUUUGAAAAGGCGGCGUAAGCUGUCGCUAAGGGGAUGGCCCCGCGGUGCAUUAGCUAGUUGGUAAGGUAACGGCUUACCAAGGCGACGAUGCAUAGCCGAGUUGAGAGACUGAUCGGCCACAAUGGAACUGAGACACGGUCCAUACUCC